UGGAUUAGGCAUGCAAGUCGAGCGCGAUAUGUAGCAAUACAUGGAGAGCGGCGAAAGGGAGAGUAAUACACAGAUAAUUACCCUCGAGCCUGGGAUAGCGGCGGGAAACUGCCGGUAAUACCAGAUAAAGUCUUCGGACCAAAGGUGUGAUUCCGCUUGAGGAUGAGUCUACGUCCUAUUAGCUAGUUGGCGGGGUAAUGGCCCACCAAGGCAACGAUGGGUAGCGGGUGUGAGAGCAUGACCCGCCCCACUGGGACUGAGAACUGCCCAGACACCUACGGGUGGCUGCAGUCGAGAAUCUUUGUCAAUGGACGAAAGUCUGAACAAGCGACGCCGCGUGCGGGAUGAAGGCCUUCGGGUUGUAAACUCCUGUCAUGGGGGGCGAGGCGGAGGCGGUUAACGGCCGCCCGAGUUGACGGUACCCCAAGAGGAAGCCACGGCUAACUCUGUGCCAGCAGCCGCGGUA
Molecule: ribosomal RNA, 466 nt
Filed under: uncultured bacterium
Lineage: Bacteria
Description: bacterial SSU rRNA
Rfam family: Bacterial small subunit ribosomal RNA
Source: RNAcentral